Molecule: long non-coding RNA, 566 nt
Organism: Pollicipes pollicipes
Lineage: Eukaryota; Metazoa; Arthropoda; Thecostraca; Pollicipedomorpha; Pollicipedidae
Exons: 3
Source: RefSeq, a predicted model, not a curated record
GGUCUGAGAGUGCGGUAGCUGGUGGUGUCAUCAUUAUUGGUGAAACCGAGCUUACCAAGCAUAGGUGGCACGCAGAGGAAUUCGGGCUACACUGUCAAACGAAACGCAAUUGCCAUGAAGGUCGUCGCUCUCCUGCUUGUGGUCUGCGUCUCCGUGGGCUGGGCGAAGCCUUUCUGCGUCCACGGUAUCUGCUUUCCUACCAGCGAAGCUACUGGGGGUGCCUCGGGCGAUGUCGUCAGUGGUACAAGCAUUGGCCCUCAUGGUGCCACUAAGGUUACGUCCGUCAGCUCCUCUGCAGGGGGAUCUGCCAGAGGACCGUGUGCAUCCAGCUUCAAUACGGGACAUGCCGGAUUAUUUAGCUCACAGGAUAUCUAUGGCAAUAGGGAGAAUGUCGACACUGGUGCCACCUCAAUCCAAAACACCGGCUGCUGAAUGACUCAGUCACAGUCAUCUCGGCAUGCGCCGCAAUGGCACACAUGAAACGCUUGUUACAUCCACGAACGUUGUGAUAUCGGCGUCGGUUGUGACAUGUGAUCGAAGUUUGCAAUACAGGCUUACCCCCGACA